UGUUAUUGGCCUGAUUUACCAUUCCUUUUGACUAUCAAGUAUACAUAUAAGCAUUUAGAGCUUCGUCUUAAGCAAUUACUACAUCAUUUGAUUUUGGAUAUGGUAAUUGGGCUCGGGCUCAGCCUGGGCUGACUCACCUAGUUAUUUUAUUUAUUAUAUAGAAGAGCAAAGAUGGUGGACCACCGGCAUCUUUGCAAAUUUAGCUUUAUUUAAGGGCAAAAUGAUAAUUACAUCACAACAAUUAAAAUGGAGCUCCAGAAGGAUCCCUUUGUCUUUCUCAUCAGUCAUCUCCAACAAACAAAAAAAAGCACCAGCGGCUCUUUUUUUCAUCUUCUCAUCCAGAUAAGCUUUCCUUUUAAAUUUUGCUUAAAUUUUUCUUUGUUGUCUUCGAUCUUUUCAAUUUUCGGUCUACCCAUGUGACAUUGGUACUGAUUUUGCCUGUUUCUUUGUGGAACUCCAGUCUUUUUCUAAAGAAAUUAGAGAAGGUCUUAUAUCUUUAGGGCAAAGUAGUUUCUGGGUCUUGUGCAAUUUAUUGAAAUUCAGAUUGCUUUGUGAAUUUCUGGUAACUAUUAGGCAAAGAUUAGCUGGUAUUGAGCAAUACUGAAUUUAAGGGAAAUAAAUGCUGCCGAAUUUCAUGGUCACUCCCUUCAAAUAUCUGUUGCUUAUCAGAUAUCCCUUUUAGCCCUUGUUCUGAUUCGUUUAUUGCUCAAUUCAGAGUUCUCCUUAGCUUCUUACAAGUGUCAUCUCUCUGCUUUGGAGUGUUUCUUGACUCUCGUAUGCUCUUUUCUCUGUUCUUCGGGCCGCUUGGGUGAUUUGGUAUUAAAUUGGUGGCACUUUUCUUUAUUAUGUUGAUAAAUAUUUUUAGGAUUCUCACCUUAAGGUAUUGUUAGUUUAGAAAUCAAAGUCUGUAGUCUCAUGAUAUUUCUCAAAUAUUUUUAUUUAAACCCUAUAACUUACAACACAAUAAUAUAUAAAGCUUUGCACUAUAGGUAAUACCUUGCAGACUUUUAUCUAAAUCACGCAAUAAUGCAUACUUCCUCUGUAAAUGGUUCGGAAGAGCUUCUAUAUCUGAGACAAUGUCGUCAAUAUAGCAACGCAACACAGAGGAACUAAUCGAUCUAUAAUUUGUAAUGCAUCACUCUUGCAUGGACAAUACUAAAAGUCAUGCUCGAAACUAGAUAGUUUCAGCAAUUCGCCUCGCUUAGGCGGCAUUUCAAUUCAGGCCAGGCAUGCAUCGUAUCACUAAUGGGUUCUGUCAUGGAGUGAGCAGCACUAAAUAAUAACCAGUAUUUUAAAAGGCAGGGCGUUAUACUCAAUGUAGGAGGCGUAAGCCCCUCUGAUGACGAGCAGUUAAUGGAAGUGGUAUAGUUGAGUAUCAUUGUUAUGAAUCAAAAUAGCCGUGAUGCCACAUUUGGGCUUUUGGCAAAUUACAUAUGGGAUCCUGGCUGAAAAUAGAGCAUGUGCACUGCGCGUGACAGAGACCAAGGAAAUCAGGAGAUAAAUAAUAUGUUCAUUGCAUUCUAGAGUUAGGCUGAAUUUGGUAGAAACUUCCCUCUCUGGUCUCUCUCCCUCGACACUUCUCUCUGUGGCUUAGUCUUCCUUUAUCUUUUGACCCAUGAAAGGCUUUGGUCAUUUUAAAUGAGUAAUUAGCUGAAAUAUCUUUUGCUGCAGGCAUCAAGGACAUCGCUAUAUUGAUUCCUGUAGAACCAUGCUAGUAUAAGAGUUGCUAAGGUAAAUUUUUUCUAUUACAUAGAAAAGGAGAUUAAAUAGGCCACCACUUUUUACAUUCACAGAAAUAAUGUAUCAAUGCACAUGGUGUAGAAAGCAUCUAAGAAAAAAAUCAUAACAGAAGUUCUCAAUCACUAAAGAGUCAAUUUAACACAGUAAGCACAUCAUACAUGCACAACUUCACAUAGACCAGAGGAAAUAAUAGUUUGAUGAAAGUCCACUUCCAUCAAAUUUUGAAGUUGGAUAUUGUCAUGCAUGUCCAGUUAUGCAAAAUAGUGAUAUCCAAUUUACUGGGAACCUUGAGAAUUGCAUCUGGCUCACAUGUAUUCAUUUAACAAACACUAAAGAUACACAGAUAGCAUUAUCUUGAUUUUUGGUUCUCUGAGAAAUAGUAUAAUGUUUUUUAAUAAGCAGCACUUCUAAUUGUUACAUGAUAAAUAAUCUAAAAGCCAACAGACAAUUCAAUUUUUUCAUGAUUUUAGUAACAAUGGGUCACCAUAUUCAGUGCAAUAACUUCUAAGUUAAGCCCUUUCUUUGUCAUCUCAUCAUAGAAGUAACUAGCAACUUGACGCAUUCUAGUCCUGAGAAGUCCAUCAAUGACAUGUGUAGAAGACCCGGUCUGUAGGUAGAUCUCUACCCAAUGCUCUUCUCAACAGAAGAGUCACAACAACCAGUUUAUCAUGACUAUAGAAGUCAGCCAGGAAACUGGGGAGGUAUGACUAUCAGGGAGCACAUUAUCCCGAAAAAGAAAAGAUAUUAGUAAGUUGCAUAUGAGAGUUUCAAGACUAUGCCCUAUUUUGUGCAUCGUAUAUACUCUCAUUGUCAACUGUUGUAGUUAGUAUCUUAUAAUAUCAAAAUAUAUACCACUUUCGUAUAUAAAUCUUCUUCAACACAUUGUUGCAAUAAAUUAAUUGAGCACCACAUUGUGAUAUGCACAGUAGAGAACUGACAUAUAUAUUUUUUAAUUUUAAGUUAAAUGGAGAAAUGGACAACUACAUCCAAGGAUGAUUAGACAUAGGCAUCAUUAGCUUUUCAUCAUCCGCAAAAAUGAUCUCCUACUUAUUUCGUGUGCGAAACUCUUCCUGAAUUUCAAAAAUCUCCUUAAGUUACUUUAUGAGCUAAUUAUAUCCGGUCAGUAUAGUUAAAUCCAUUGCAUGACCCAUAGCUACCCAUUGUAUUUGAAUCUUCUUAAGGGAUGAAAAAUGUUUUGAUUUUUAUUGAUAUAUUUGAAGGCAGCGAUAAGCACAUAAAUAGGUAUUUACUUUGUCAUUUAAUUUUAAUACCUUAGUGUGACUUUUGGUAGAACAAAUCUGCUUACUGAGAACCUCCUUUUGUGAUGAAUGCGACUACCCUCGAAUUGUUAAUUUCUUUGAAAUCUAUGAGUUAUGCAAGUUCAGAUUGUUUUUUCACCCGUAGAUAUUUGCAUCCAAGUUCUUCGUGAAAUAUUUAAAAGAGACAUGAACUCUUUUGUAUGUUCAAAAGACUUGACGAAAAUACAAAAUUAUAUUUUAUGUUCAAUCCUCAUGCACAAUAUCAAUUGUUUAAUGUCUAAAUUAAUAUGAACUCAAUCACUAUCUGCCAUUUCAAAAAUCCAAUGUAAAUGCUUCAAAAUAUUGUGCCUUUGUAAUUUUGUAACAUUUAUGAUUAGUAAUGUAUAUCAACAAUUAUACUACUUCAGUGCACGUAAAAAUAACAUGUGCAAGCUAUCACCAAAUAUUCAGUUUACCAAAAAAGAGGGGGGGGGGGGGGGGAACAAACAACACGCUCAAGCAAUCCAACAUUAGCUUUAUUUAUUUGAUCUAAGCACAUCUCCAGGCGAAGAAAAAUGGAAAAAGACUACUAUUCAUCCAAAAAUAGAAUUUCCAUACACAAAUUGUUCUUUAAGUAAUGGAUAUAAUUUACUCAUUGCAAUAUACUUUCACUAGCUGAUUUUCUUCUAUUCAUGUACGAACAUAUUGAGUUAAGGCUUUAUACAAUAUGAGCUUCUUCUACUAAAAGUAACCUACAUUCCAUUGAUCAACUAUCCCCUGCAUAAUAGGAAUUUGUUCCAUCUUUUUGUUCACUGUAAAGAGUGUGAAAAGAGGAAGCUUGGUAGCUUUAGAGUGUCUGACCAGGCUUAAAGUUCAUUCCUUGAAUUAUUUUUCUUUAUGUUUAAAUGCUUUUUUGCAGGUGAAGGUGUGCGAUUGUGUUCUAAUGCUAAGAUUUAAGGUAACAUUUAGCACAAAAUAUGUGCGCUAUCACAUUAUGAGAUGCUCACUGAAUGCUAGUCACCUUGUGUCAUUUAUUCAUGAAGUAAAGCCACUUUAGUUUUUCUUGCACCGCAGCUUUUUAUCAUUAAUUUACUCAAUUAUUGCUAAAGUUACAUUAGUAUGUAUAUCCAUUUAAUGCUUUAGCUUAUUUUUCCAUUAGGUUACCUAAGAUGUUGGUAUUAAGCACUUGAUUUUCCUCUGCAGAUUUCUCCUGAAAGCAACAUUACCGUACCUGAUUCACAAAAUUCCUAGGCCCAAAAGCAGUGGUUUUGGGGAAUUUUUCAUAAAGCACCAUCUUUUUGGUCUAAUUAGCCAUUUAUAGAUACCUUUUGCUAUAUUACGUGUUAUAGAUACCUUUUAUGUUUUUAUACAAUAUAUUUCAUGUAUUUAAGCUGUUGUAUUCAUUAAUAUAACAAAAAAUAUAGGCGUAAAAUCUUGAAUUCCAACUAAGUUUGACAUGUAUUUAGCUGUAUUCAAGCGACAUUAACAUUAAAUACAGUAACAUAUCUGCGCUAAAAACGGAAGAAAAUAAAAUUCACAUGAUAUUCUCCUAAUUUAACU
RNAcentral lists this long non-coding RNA (4538 nucleotides) under Nicotiana tabacum (common tobacco). RNAcentral's name for it is "long non-coding RNA (NTAB_LNC019096)". Lineage: Eukaryota; Viridiplantae; Streptophyta; Magnoliopsida; Solanales; Solanaceae. The record is from RNAcentral.